UGAGUAUGCGUCCCAUUAGCUAGAUGGUAAGGUAACGGCUUACCAUGGCAAUGAUGGGUAGGGGUCCUGAGAGGGAGAUCCCCCACACUGGUACUGAGACACGGACCAGACUCCUACGGGAGGCAGCAGUGAGGAAUAUUGGACAAUGGGCGCAAGCCUGAUCCAGCCAUGCCCGCGUGCAGGAAUAAGGUCCUAUGGAUUGUAAACUGCUUUUAUACAGGAAGAAACACACCCUCGUGAGGGUACUUGACGGUACUGUAUGAAUAAGGACCGGCUAACUCCGUG
Molecule: ribosomal RNA, 285 nt
Filed under: uncultured bacterium
Lineage: Bacteria
Description: partial 16S ribosomal RNA
Rfam family: Bacterial small subunit ribosomal RNA
Source: RNAcentral